CCGGGUGUAGCGCAAUUGGUAGAGCGCGUGGUUUGGGACCACGAGGCUGGGGGUUCGAGCCCCACUACUCGGACCA
Molecule: transfer RNA, 76 nt
Filed under: Pseudoflavonifractor phocaeensis
Lineage: Bacteria; Bacillati; Bacillota; Clostridia; Eubacteriales; Oscillospiraceae
Description: tRNA-Pro
Rfam family: tRNA
About the family: Transfer RNA (tRNA) molecules are approximately 80 nucleotides in length.
Source: RNAcentral